Molecule: ribosomal RNA, 254 nt
Filed under: uncultured bacterium
Lineage: Bacteria
Description: partial 16S ribosomal RNA
Rfam family: Bacterial small subunit ribosomal RNA
Source: RNAcentral
UACGUAGGUGGCAAGCGUUGUCCGGAAUUAUUGGGCGUAAAGCGCGCGCAGGCGGUCCUUUAAGUCUGAUGUGAAAGCCCUCGGCUCAACCGAGGAGGGUCAUUGGAAACUGGAGGACUUGAGUGCAGAAGAGGAAAGUGGAAUUCCAAGUGUAGCGGUGAAAUGCGUAGAGAUUUGGAGGAACACCAGUGGCGAAGGCGACUUUCUGGUCUGUAACGUGACGCUGAGGCGCGAAAGCGUGGGGAGCAAACAGG